Molecule: long non-coding RNA, 675 nt
Filed under: Homo sapiens (human)
Lineage: Eukaryota; Metazoa; Chordata; Mammalia; Primates; Hominidae
Description: HSALNT0300771
Source: RNAcentral
GAUGAUUUUAUAAGGGACAUUCCUCCCUUCACUCUGCACUUCUCUCUCCUGCCACCAUGUGAAGAAGGAGGUGUUUGCUUCCCCUUCUGCCAUGAUUGUAAGAUUCCUGAGGCCUCUGCAGCCAUGCAGAACUGUGAGUCAAUUAAACCUCUUUCCUUUAUAAAUUACCCAGUCUCAGGUAUUUCCUUAUAGCAAUGAGAGAAUGAACUAAUACACCAUCUGACAUGGAUUUUUGUAUGUGGCAUGAGGUAGUCUAUUGUUCCUGUAUUUGCAUCAACUUUUUUUAAUCGGCUCCAUCUCCAUUUAAAACAAUUUUUUAAAUUAUACUUUAAGUUCUGGGAUACAUGUGCAGAACGUGCAGGUUUGUUACAUAGGUAUACACGCACCAUGGUGGUUUGCCGCACCCAUCAACCAGUCAUCUACAUUUCUCCUAAUGCUAUCCCUCCCCUAGCUCUCUACUUCCUCAUAGGCCCUGGUGUGUGAUGCUCCCCUCCCUGUGUCCAUGUGUUCUCAUUGUUCAACUCUCACUUAUGAGUGAGAACAUGUGGUAUUUGGUUUUCUGUUCUUGUGUUAGUUUACUGAGAAUGAUGGUUUCCAGCUUCAUCUAUGUCCCUGCAAAGGACAUGAACUCAUCAAUUUUGAUGGCUGCAUACUAUUCCAUGGUGUAUAUGUGCC